CCUACGGGUGGCAGCAGUGAGGAAUAUUGGUCAAUGGACGAGAGUCUGAACCAGCCAAGUAGCGUGAAGGAUGACUGCCCUAUGGGUUGUAAACUUCUUUUAUAUGGGAAUAAAAUGUUCCACGUGUGGGUUUUUGUAUGUACCAUAUGAAUAAGGAUCGGCUAACUCCGUUCCAGCAGCCGCGGUAAUACGGAGGAUCCGAGCGUUAUCCGGAUUUAUUGGGUUUAAAGGGAGCGUAGGUGGAUUGUUAAGUCAGUUGUGAAAGUUUGCGGCUCAACCGUAAAAUUGCAGUUGAAACUGGCAGUCUUGAGUAAAGGAGAGGUGGGCGGAAUUCGUGGUGUAGCGGUGAAAUGCUUAGAUAUCACGAAGAACUCCGAUUGCGAAGGCAGCUCACUGGACUGCAACUGACACUGAGGCUCGAAAGUGUGGGUAUCAAACAGGAUUAGAUACCCGGGUAGUC
Molecule: ribosomal RNA, 460 nt
Filed under: uncultured bacterium
Lineage: Bacteria
Description: partial 16S ribosomal RNA
Rfam family: Bacterial small subunit ribosomal RNA
Source: RNAcentral